Molecule: ribosomal RNA, 574 nt
Filed under: Notropis hudsonius (spottail shiner)
Lineage: Eukaryota; Metazoa; Chordata; Actinopteri; Cypriniformes; Leuciscidae
Description: partial large subunit ribosomal RNA
Rfam family: Bacterial large subunit ribosomal RNA
Source: RNAcentral
CGCCUCCUGCAGUUUAAAGUAUAGGAGGUCCAGCCUGCCCAGUGACUACGGGUUCAACGGCCGCGGUAUAUUGACCGUGCAAAGGUAGCGCAAUCACUUGUCUUUUAAAUAGAGACCUGUAUGAAUGGCUAGACGAGGGCUUAACUGUCUCCCCCUUCCAGUCAGUGAAAUUGAUCUAUCCGUGCAGAAGCGGGUAUAAUACUACAAGACGAGAAGACCCUUUGGAGCUUAAGGUACAAAAUUCAGCCACGUUAAGCAACUCAGUAGAAAGCAAGAACUUAGUGGCCAUGAAGUUUUACCUUCGGUUGGGGCGACCACGGAGGAAAAGCAAGCCUCCGAGUGGACCGGGCCAAAACCCCUAAAGCCAAAAGAGACAUCUUUAAGCCGCAGAACAUCUGACCAAUAAUGAUCCGGCUAGAAGGCCGAUCAACGGACCAAGUUACCCUAGGGAUAACAGCGCAAUCCUCUCCCAGAGACCAUAUCUACGAGGGGGUUUACGACCUCGAUGUUGGAUCAGGACAUCCUGGUGGUGCAGCCGCUAUUAAGGGUUCGUUUGUUCAACGAUUAAAGUCCU